GUGGAUAUAGUUUAACAAAAAUGUUAGAUUGUGAUUCUGAAAAUAGGGGUUAAAGUCCCCUUAUCCACC
RNAcentral lists this transfer RNA (69 nucleotides) under Sillaginopsis panijus (flathead sillago). Its description in RNAcentral is "tRNA-His". It matches the Rfam family "tRNA". From Rfam's summary of the family: Transfer RNA (tRNA) molecules are approximately 80 nucleotides in length. Their secondary structure includes four short double-helical elements and three loops (D, anti-codon, and T loops). Further hydrogen bonds mediate the characteristic L-shaped molecular structure. tRNAs have two regions of fundamental functional importance: the anti-codon, which is responsible for specific mRNA codon recognition, and the 3' end, to which the tRNAs corresponding amino acid is attached (by aminoacyl-tRNA synthetases). tRNAs cope with the degeneracy of the genetic code in two manners: having more than one tRNA (with a specific anti-codon) for a particular amino acid; and 'wobble' base-pairing, i.e. permitting non-standard base-pairing at the 3rd anti-codon position. The record is from RNAcentral. Lineage: Eukaryota; Metazoa; Chordata; Actinopteri; Sillaginidae.